This 1166-nucleotide long non-coding RNA is filed under the name Sinocyclocheilus anshuiensis. RNAcentral's name for it is "lncRNA (ENSSANG00000003584.1)". The record is from RNAcentral. Lineage: Eukaryota; Metazoa; Chordata; Actinopteri; Cypriniformes; Cyprinidae.
CUGGGUCUCGUUUGAUGGCAGAAAGAGGCAGGAAAUCCAGCAUGGGGACAGCAUUAAGAUCACAACCUCUUGCUUUCCGGUCCCUUCCAUCUGUUGUCAUGAUCUGGUGUACGACUGGUUUGACAGUCUGGCUCAGUGUCUCCACUGGAACGUCCGCAAGAAGCAAACACGUCUAACGGAUGCCAGCGACUCUUCAGAAACGGAGAACUGAAACAUCACCACAAAACUCUCUGUUGACUUUACAUUCCAUCCUGACUCACUGAAAAGGGGGUUAGAGUUCAAAAUUCUUAUUUUUACAUUGCACAUUUCUAUGUUCAUAGAUUUACAGAUUUCAUUAUAAAUCGCAAUAAGUGCUCGUGUGCUACCUGAGAAAUAACACAUUUAUUGUUAGAGGUUAACCUGGAUUACUUGCAAUUUAACGGCAACAAAACGUUUGCUUAACAUAAAAUGUCAUAGUGCGACUGCUAAACAUCGUUAUGCAGACAGUAUUUCUUAGAGAAUUGUUUUUGCAGCUGACCGCUUCACAACAUGCUAAAUAACUGAUCUGACUUAUAGUAUAUUUUGUAUGUUUUUUUUUAUUACAAUACCAUUUAUUAAGAAUUAUUUAAAAAUCCACUAACAUUUAAAUUUGUACUGUAGGUUAUGUAGAUUCAUCCACUUCUAAAUGGUUUAGGUAACAGAAAUUACAAAUCAUCCACCACAUAUUUGAACUUGAAAUGCACAUUAUAGCAGGAAAAGUCAUUUACUGAGCAUAAAAUGUUCAUUUUGAGGUUUUUGUGUGUGUUUAACUCUGUAGCUGUUAGCUAAAUUGACCACAAACUAUCCUCACCUACAAACAGACAAAGUUUGGUUUUCUGUGUGGUUCCUUAUUUGUAAUGAACUGUACGAGAAGCCAUGCUUUGUCAGUUUAACGUGUUGGCAAUCAGUUUUGUGUGCUCUACUAGACACCAUUGUACAUUCAACUAGUAAGAUUGAAUGCGGUUUAUCAGUCUUUUUCCUGUAGCUCAAGCUUUUGUUUGAUUUUCAUUCUAAUUGAUUAACCUGUGCAGAGCCUUUCUGAAUAUGAAUCAAAUAACUAAUGUUUUGUCAGGUUAGGAGGCUGUCAAACCGAAGUAGUUCGUCAAAGAAUAUUGUAGCCUCCUUGUGGCGGGACAGGAUGUUGCAUU